UCUCUCCUACGGGACGCAGCAGUAGGGAAUCUUCCACAAUGGACGAAAGUCUGAUGGAGCAACGCCGCGUGAGUGAAGAAGGGUUUCGGCUCGUAAAGCUCUGUUGGUAGUGAAGAAAGAUAGAGGUAGUAACUGGCCUUUAUUUGACGGUAAUUACUUAGAAAGUCACGGCUAACUACGUGCCAGCCGCCGCGGUAAUACGGAGGUGGCAAGCGUUGUCCGGAUUUAUUUGGCGUAAA
RNAcentral lists this ribosomal RNA (239 nucleotides) under uncultured bacterium. Its description in RNAcentral is "partial 16S ribosomal RNA". It matches the Rfam family "Bacterial small subunit ribosomal RNA", at positions 333 to 564 of the family's 1533-position model. The record is from RNAcentral.